Molecule: non-coding RNA, 93 nt
Organism: Ataeniobius toweri
Lineage: Eukaryota; Metazoa; Chordata; Actinopteri; Cyprinodontiformes; Goodeidae
Source: the annotation of a GenBank genome assembly
GUGCUGGUGGUGUAGGGGUUAAGCGCGCGACCACUUAUAAAGGCUAUAGUCCUCGAUGCUGCUGUCCUGGGUUUGAGUCCCAGACCUGGCGCC